RNAcentral lists this ribosomal RNA (629 nucleotides) under uncultured bacterium. Its description in RNAcentral is "bacterial SSU rRNA". It matches the Rfam family "Bacterial small subunit ribosomal RNA", at positions 691 to 1310 of the family's 1533-position model. The record is from RNAcentral.
CAGAUAUCGGGAGGAACACCAGUGGCGAAGGCGGUUCUCUGGACCUUUCCUGACGCUGAGAAGCGAAAGCGUGGGGAGCAAACAGGCUUAGAUACCCUGGUAGUCCACGCUGUAAACGGUGGGUACUAGGUGUGGGGGACAUUCCACGUUCUCUGUGCCGUAGCUAACGCAUUAAGUACCCCGCCUGGGGAGUCGGCCGCAAGGCUAAAACUCAAAGGAAUUGACGGGGCCCCGCACAAGCGGCGGAGCAUGCGGAUUAAUUCGAUGCAACGCGAAGAACCUUACCUGGGUUUGACAUAUAUCGGAAACGUUCAGAGAUGGGCGCCCCGUAAGGUCGGUAUACAGGUGGUGCAUGGCUGUCCGCAACUCGUGUCGUGAGAUGUUUGGGUUAAGUCCCGCAACGAGCGCAACCCUCGUCCAAUGUUGCCAGCGGGUUAUGCCGGGGACUCAUUGGAAACCCGCCGGGGUCAACUCGGAGGAGGUGGGAUGACNUCAAGUCAAUCAUGCCCCUUAUGUCCAGGGCUUUNACGCAUGCUUACAAUGGCCGGNUCAAAANAAGUUNGGAACCUUGUNNAGGGUGAGCCGAAUUCUCAAAAAGCCCGGUCUUANUUCGGAAUUGGGGUCUGCAA